RNAcentral lists this ribosomal RNA (479 nucleotides) under uncultured bacterium. RNAcentral's name for it is "partial 16S ribosomal RNA". It matches the Rfam family "Bacterial small subunit ribosomal RNA", at positions 28 to 507 of the family's 1533-position model. The record is from RNAcentral.
GAUGAACGCUGGCGGCGUGCUUAACACAUGCAAGUCGAGCGAGAAGUUUUGAAAAGAUUCUUCUGAGGAAAUUUAAAAUGGAAAGCGGCGGACGGGUGAGUAACGCGUAGGCAACCUGCCCCAUACAAAGGGAUAGCAUUUGGAAACGAAUAUUAAUACCUUAUGAAACUUAACUAGUGCAUGCUAGGUAGGUCAAAGAUUUAUCGGUAUGGGAUGGGCCUGCGUCUGAUUAGCUAGUUGGUGAGGUAACGGCUCACCAAGGCGACGAUCAGUAGCCGACCUGAGAGGGUGAACGGCCACAUUGGAACUGAGACACGGUCCAAACUCCUACGGGAGGCAGCAGUGGGGAAUAUUGCACAAUGGGGGAAACCCUGAUGCAGCAACGCCGCGUGAACGAUGAAGGCCUUUGGGUCGUAAAGUUCUGUUAUAGGCGAUGAAAACUGACAGUAACCUAGGAGAAAGCCCCGGCUAACUCCGUG